UACGUAGGUGGCAAGCGUUAUCCGGAUUUAUUGGGUGUAAAGGGCGUGUAGGCGGGAGCGCAAGUCAGAUGUGAAAACUCAGGGCUCAACCCUGAGCCUGCAUUUGAAACUGUGUUUCUUGAGUGCUGGAGAGGCAAUCGGAAUUCCGUGUGUAGCGGUGAAAUGCGUAGAUAUACGGAGGAACACCAGUGGCGAAGGCGAAUUGCUGGACAGUAACUGACGCUGAGGCUCGAAAGCGUGGGGAGCAAACAGG
This 253-nucleotide ribosomal RNA is filed under the name uncultured bacterium. RNAcentral's name for it is "partial 16S ribosomal RNA". It matches the Rfam family "Bacterial small subunit ribosomal RNA", at positions 524 to 776 of the family's 1533-position model. The record is from RNAcentral.